Molecule: transfer RNA, 61 nt
Filed under: Boodlea composita
Lineage: Eukaryota; Viridiplantae; Chlorophyta; Ulvophyceae; Cladophorales; Boodleaceae
Description: tRNA-Ile
Source: RNAcentral
AGGCAGGUGCACGAUGCAGGGCGGUCAUGAUGAUGCCGAUUCUGCUCACCGGACCUUUCUA